RNAcentral lists this non-coding RNA (31 nucleotides) under Homo sapiens (human). Lineage: Eukaryota; Metazoa; Chordata; Mammalia; Primates; Hominidae. The record is from RNAcentral.
ACAGAGAAUGCCAAUCACUGAGACGAUGAGU